AAGAAACACCACAUCACCAACACGGCUUCUUGUUCACUUACACGUGUGGCCACCGGAGGCAGCAUUAGACAGGAGUUCCCGUGUCUCUGAGUCAAAUGGACUUUCGUUUGGCAGAGAACGUGGUUUACCGGGGUUAGCAUAAGCAUCUCGUACGAAUGAACUUUUUUAAUUCGUAAAUUGUAACUUUAAGUUUAAGAAAAUACAUUUAGUUAGAAGCACGCAGCGGUCAACCCGCCAAUCAGAAGACAGCAAGGCAGCGAUUGGUAACAAACUCCAGGUAUCAUCACCCGGGCGGUCUGCAGUCACAGCAGCAGCUGAGCUGCGUUCACUAAAUAAAAACCCUCGUUUGAAAGGCAGAAAAAUGUCAUGGCCGCGAACUGUUGGACCUCAGUGGAGGACCCUAGUGGUGGAGAUGAGCUGGUGUCAUCGUGGACGUCCGUCAGGUCGUACUUUUCCUUUAAUCUACCGUCAGUGGAGUUUGAGUUUAACUGAACCAGAACCAGAACCAGAACCAGAACCAGAACCAGAGUCCAAUCAUGAGACGGAGAGCGGAUCCAGUGGAGAAUCGUUUUAAUACAAAUUUCUAUUUUGAAAAUAUAAACAUGAUAAAACAUUUGAACACAUUUGUUUCCUGUCAGGAGAUUGGUUGACCUGUGUGACAUCAUCAGAGGUCAGAGGUCAGAUUGACUUUGGUUUAAAAGACUUCUGUGUUCCAGGGGAUUAGAAGGUGGAGUUAGAAGGAAGUCGUUGUUUAGAAACAGGAAGUGGAAAACUGAAGCUGGACGUCUCCUCUGAGGAGGACGUCUCCUCUGAGGAGGACAUCUCCUCUGAGGAGGACGUCUCCUCUGAGGAGGACGUCUCAUCUGAGGAGGACACCAUCUCUGAGGAGGACACCAUCUCUGAGGAGGACGUCUCCUCUGAGGAGGACGUCUCCUCUGAGGAGGACAUCUCCUCUGAGGAGGACGUCUCCUCUUCAGAAAGUGAAUUUGAGGACCUAAUCUGAAGACGUUUGUUUCUUCUCGGGUGUCUCCCACGUGGACCAGAUCAUUGGGACAAAUCAACCAGGAUCCCUGAGAACUGACUUUUCAAAAUAAAGGUCCUGGUUGUUGGACAUCCAGCCCUGUGGCUCAGAGGACCUGAGUGUGGGACAGACAUCACGGGGCAGAGUUAGUGACCGUUCACACUACGGUCCAGUUCUUCAGUUUUCAUGAAAACACAGGAAGGUUCCAGAAGGACUUUUCUGUUCCUGGUCCACAGAACUAAUGGUUUCAAAUCUUGGGUUUUGAUCAUUUACACCGUGACGCAACUUUAUUGUUUUCGAAAUGACACCAAGGGAGCUGCGAUGAGCGACCUCUGUUGGUUGAAAAUGGUACAAUAUAAAUAUGAACGACAUUGAAAUCGAACUAAACCCAAAAGUCUGUCAGUCGGGACUUGACUCGGAACUGAUGAAAGAACUAAAGAGUUCCGCCGACGAGGCGACGAUUGUUGACAGAUCUGAAGCUCGUCGUUUAUUGGCUGUUGUUGCUGCUCAGAACGUCCAAUCAGAACACAACGAUGUUCUGACAACAGCACUCGCACCGUCAA
Long non-coding RNA from Cynoglossus semilaevis (tongue sole), 1584 nucleotides. RefSeq lists it as uncharacterized. The transcript has 2 exons. The record is from RefSeq and is a predicted model, not a curated record. NCBI's taxonomy places the organism in Eukaryota, Metazoa, Chordata, Actinopteri, Pleuronectiformes, Cynoglossidae.